GACGAACGCUGGCGGCGUGCUUAACACAUGCAAGUCGAGCGGAAAGGCCUUUCGGGGUACUCGAGCGGCGAACGGGUGAGUAACACGUGAGUAACCUGCCCCUGGCUCUGGGAUAACUGUCGGAAACGAUGGCUAAUACCGGAUAUUCACGCUUCAUCGCAUGGUGGGGUGUGGAAAGUUUUUUCGGCUGGGGAUGGGCUCGCGGCCUAUCAGCUUGUUGGUGGGGUGAUGGCCUACCAAGGCGGUGACGGGUAGCCGGCCUGAGAGGGCGACCGGCCACACUGGGACUGAGACACGGCCCAGACUCCUACGGGAGGCAGCAGUGGGGAAUAUUGCACAAUGGGCGAAAGCCUGAUGCAGCGACGCCGUGUGAGGGAUGACGGCUUUCGGGUUGUAAACCUCUUUCAGCAGGGACGAAGCGGAAGUGACGGUACCUGCAGAAGAAGCGCCGGCCAACUACGUGCCAGCCGCCGCCGUAA
Molecule: ribosomal RNA, 479 nt
Filed under: uncultured bacterium
Lineage: Bacteria
Description: partial 16S ribosomal RNA
Rfam family: Bacterial small subunit ribosomal RNA
Source: RNAcentral